RNA transcript from Myxocyprinus asiaticus (Chinese sucker), 1936 nucleotides. It is a transcript of the gene named phosphatidylethanolamine-binding protein 1-like, with no coding region annotated. The transcript is spliced from 3 exons. NCBI's taxonomy places the organism in Eukaryota, Metazoa, Chordata, Actinopteri, Cypriniformes, Catostomidae. The record is from RefSeq and is a predicted model, not a curated record.
GCCUCGAUGACGUAUCCUUCCAACGAGACACAGCUCCCUUCUCACUCAGAGCGCUCCCUUUUGUUAAAGAGAGUCAUAGCAACCAUGUUACGUUCCGUUUCCGUUUGUCUUACGAAGGCCGUCUCGUUUAAACGAGACUUGUUUAAAGGAGGACGCUCGGUAUACUGCAGCCUUCAAAGGAUGCGUCCUACCUAGCACGCAGUCUUCGAAACGAGACACCGCUAUAGACUUUACAAUUCAAUGUUUCUUUGCUCAUAAUCUGUAUUUCACUGGAUUGUAUGCCAAUUUAUGAGGACCUUAUAUAUUGCCUGCAUAAAUAUGUAGCACAUAAACAAACAAACUGGACAUAAUAAUCUUGCUAUCAAGUUAGGUAAACAAAGGGUAAUGACAUACAGAGCAUAACUCCGAAAACACUUGGGGGAAAUAACUUGCUAAUAACAUGUCGUUUUAUUCACUAAGCCACACCAGUAAAGUUUCUUUAAGAUAUCAAUUCGAUUUUCAACCCGCCUCUACUAAAGGCAGCCAUGCUGUCAGGAGGAAGGACCCCUGUCAGCCGUUAUAGGUGUCUUAAAAGAUGCCUGAGUGAAUGUGUUUUAACAGUACAUUGCCUAUUAAAAGUAAGGGUUAUAACAAGAUAUUUUGUACGAGUCGUAGUUGAGUUCAACAUGUAUUUUAUCAACUAAAAACAAUGGUAUAAAUAGAAUAAACAAGAAUGCAUCAAAAUGACAGACAAAAUAAUAUAAAUUUUAACUUUUCUACUUGAACAAAGGUACAUACACAUAAUGUCCUCGUUAACAAACUUAUAGUUAUCAUAUUUAAAAUAAAGGAAACCAUCAGAAUCGGGGUGGAGCCGAAUAAGAUUGAUAGGCAAUCGGGCCAAUCAAAAUGCAGGCAUGGUUUCUAGCUGCAAGCUGAUUGGCUAUAGCAGUGACUGCGCAGUUCAAUUAACAAUCACAAUCAAGUAACUCUAGGGGGAGACAGACGCUCUACUCUCCUCGCUGCGUAGUUAUUUCGCAAACGCUGUGACUCACCAUGCCUGUGGAUAUUAAUGAAUGGACAGGUGCUCUAGCUCUCACUGAGGUGGAGGAGAAACCAGCCAAGCCUUUAACCGUCAGAUAUGGGGCUUUGGAAAUUGACGCGCUGGGAAAAGUCCUCACACCCACUCAGGUCAGAUGCACGUGCAUGCAGGAAUUAGGCCAGUGCCUGUAGCCUUGCAAUGAUUCUGCACCAUGCAUGACCUGCUAAUACGAGUUUGCCAAAGAGAAUGGUGCAGAACCGCCCAACAUCAGUUGAAUGGGAGGGUUGUGACCCCAGUAAGCUAUACACCUUGGUAUUGACCGAUCCAGAUGCACCCAGCCGAAAAGACCCGAAAUUUAGGCCUGCAUCGUUACAUGUGGCUGGUUUAUGAACAGUCAGGUAGUAUCAGCUGUACUGAACCUGUUCUCACUAAUCGCUCUGGAGACAACCGUGGAAAAUUCAAGACCCGGAGUUUCUGUAAGAAGUAUGGCCUCGGUGCUCUGGUCGCUGGGUCUUGCUAUCGGGCAGAGUGGGAUGACUACGUGCCCGAACUUUACGAACAGCUGGCUGGCAAAUAAGGACCAUUUAUGCCACGGUUUAUUCAGAACGAGUCCUGGCUCGGUUCAGAUCUGAUUUAGCCAUUGCAAGAGAUGAACUAAAGUAGAGGAAAGUUCAUAGAACUAGAUUUGUGAAUUUUCUGGUCAUCUUUUGCACUGUCUGAAUAAAAAUGGAACUGAGCAAGCAUAGUUUCAGACUAUGCCUUUAUGUCAGAUAACUUAUGCUAGGUAUUUGGCCUGCCUUCAGUUUAAAAUUGCUGUCGAAUAAGUUGAAAUAUAGACUGUGCACCUUAAAAUCAAAUUUGUCUUGUAUCUGUGAUGGCACCUUUAAUAAAUUGCUUGCAGUAAUGCUUUCUUAUGCA